This 400-nucleotide long non-coding RNA is filed under the name Arabidopsis lyrata. Its description in RNAcentral is "long non-coding RNA (ALYR_LNC002525)". The record is from RNAcentral. Lineage: Eukaryota; Viridiplantae; Streptophyta; Magnoliopsida; Brassicales; Brassicaceae.
GGAUUCAUUAACUUCAACAUCUUUAGAAAAUUGCUCCACCUUCAUCUUUAAUCAACAUUAACUAAAUUGACCAAACGAACAAUAGUGUAUAUAUAUGUACGGAAGAAGUGUAUAAGCAGAGGUAGAUGAGAAAUUCCGACAAGUUUUCGGUAGAUCCCAUGGUACUUGCACAAUCUCUCCUUCAUUCUUUAGAUAGAUACAAAUACAAUUGUGGAUGUAUUAAUAUUAUACAAUUGUCCAACCAUCUCAAGAGAUUCAAUAUGCAUUACACGCUUGAUACUUGAUUGAUUUAACUAUUCCUAAGACCAAUAGAAUAUAUUACGUAAAGAUCAUCUAUGGUCUCACAAGUCACAAUACAUGCAUUCAAACUUUGGGGUGGACAACAAUAGUUCCAGACCUA